GGUUCUUGAUCUUCCUUCGUGGGUCCCAUCUCUUCCUUGAUAUUAGUGUCGUGUUCCGAAGGAGGUGAUGUAAAGACUCGAUCUUUUUCUAAAGUUGGUGAUUUUAAGACUCGAUCUUUUUCUAAAGGAGGUGAUUUUAAGACUCGAUCUUUUUCUAAAGGAGGUGAUGUAAAGACUUGAUCUUUUUCUAAAGGAGUUGAUGUAAAGACUUGAUCUUUUUGUAAAGGAGUUGAUGGCACUUCCGUAAUUUGCUCGGAAAUUAA
RNAcentral lists this long non-coding RNA (263 nucleotides) under Erythranthe guttata (spotted monkey flower). RNAcentral's name for it is "long non-coding RNA (EGUT_LNC001998)". The record is from RNAcentral. Lineage: Eukaryota; Viridiplantae; Streptophyta; Magnoliopsida; Lamiales; Phrymaceae.